GGGGGGGGGGGGGGGGGUGCGGGGGGGGGGGGGGGCGGGCGGGGAGGGGUGGAGGGUGGGCGGGUGACGGUAGCGGGGGAGGGGUGAGUAGGAGGUGGGUAGGGUAGCUGUCAGACGGGGAUCACUUCGGGAAACGGGAGCUAGUGCCGGAUAAUAUAUUGGCCCGGAUGGUUCAAUGGUGAACUGCGGUUUUGCUGGCACUUAUGGAUUGGUCCGCGCCGCAUUCGCUAGUUGGUAAGGUAACGGCUUACCAAGUCACCGAUGCGUAGCCGAACUGAGAGGGUGAGCGGCCACACUGGAACUGAGACACGGUCCAGACGCCGACGGGAGGCAGCAGUAGGGAAUCUUCCGCAAUGGUCGAAAGCCUGACGGAGCAACGCCGCGUGAGUGAUGAAGGUCUUCGGAUCGUAAAACUCUGUUAUUAGGGAAGAACAAAUGUGUAAGUAACUAUGCACGUCUUGACGGUACCUAAUCAGAAAGCCACGGCUAACUACGUG
This 497-nucleotide ribosomal RNA is filed under the name uncultured bacterium. RNAcentral describes it as "partial 16S ribosomal RNA". It matches the Rfam family "Bacterial small subunit ribosomal RNA", at positions 39 to 507 of the family's 1533-position model. The record is from RNAcentral.